GCAUCGGUGGUUCAGUGGUAGAAUGCUCGCCUGCUACGCGUGCAGCCGAGGUUCGAUUCUCGGCCGAUGCA
This is a non-coding RNA of Haemonchus contortus (barber pole worm), 71 nucleotides long. The record is from Rfam. Lineage: Eukaryota; Metazoa; Nematoda; Chromadorea; Rhabditida; Trichostrongylidae.